This 321-nucleotide ribosomal RNA is filed under the name Triticum aestivum (bread wheat). Its description in RNAcentral is "partial small subunit ribosomal RNA". The record is from RNAcentral. Lineage: Eukaryota; Viridiplantae; Streptophyta; Magnoliopsida; Poales; Poaceae.
AUGGUGUGUUCUGACCUGGAAAAAAUCAGAGAGAAGCUUUCGGGAGGAAGCGCCGCCGUCUCGAGGUGGAACCUGGGCAGAACCAAUCUAGGGCUCCGGCGGAGUUUUUCUGCCGGGGAAACAUCCCUCCAGGUGGGGCAAAUCAUCGCCAUCGUCAUCACCAUCGAUCCUCUCAUAGAUAGGGGGUCAAUGUCCAUCAACAUCUUCACCAGCACCAUAUCCUCUCAAACCCUAGUUUAUCUCUUGUAUUCGAUCUUGUUCCCAAAACCCCAGAUUGGUACCUUUGGGUUGCUAGUAGUGUUGAUUACUCCUUGUAGUUGA